UAGAGUUUGAUCCUGGCUCAGGAUGAACGCUAGCGACAGGCUUAACACAUGCAAGUCGAGGGGCAGCGGUGGUGAAGGCUUGCCUUCACCAGCCGGCGACCGGCGCACGGGUGAGUAACACGUAUGCAACCUGCCUGCCACAGCCGGAUAAUCGGGAGAAAUUCCGUCUAAUACGGCAUAAUGCAUCGACGGGACAUCCUGUUGGUGCCAAAGGUUAAUUCCGGUGGCGGAUGGGCAUGCGUCGCAUUAGUUAGUUGGCGGUGUAACGGACCACCAAGACGACGAUGCGUAGGGGUUCUGAGAGGAAGGUCCCCCACACUGGUACUGAGACACGGACCAGACUCCUACGGGAGGCAGCAGUGAGGAAUAUUGGUCAAUGGGCGGGAGCCUGAACCAGCCAAGUCGCGUGAGGGAUGACGGCCCUAUGGGUUGUAAACCUCUUUUGCCGGGGAGCAAAGUGCCGCACGUGUGCGGUUUGGAGAGUACCCGGAGAAAAAGCAUCGGCUAACUCCGUGCCAGCAGCCGCGGUAAUACGGAGGAUGCGAGCGUUAUCCGGAUUUAUUGGGUUUAAAGGGUGCGUAGGCGGACGCUUAAGUCAGCGGUAAAAUUGCGGGGCUCAACCUCGUCGAGCCGUUGAAACUGGGUGCCUUGAGUGGGCGAGAAGUACGCGGAAUGCGUGGUGUAGCGGUGAAAUGCAUAGAUAUCACGCAGAACUCCGAUUGCGAAGGCAGCGUACCGGCGCCCAACUGACGCUGAAGCACGAAGGCGUGGGUAUCGAACAGGAUUAGAUACCCUGGUAGUCCACGCAGUAAACGAUGAAUGCUAGUUGUCCGGGGCGAUUGAGUUCUGGGUGACACAGCGAAAGCGUUAAGCAUUCCACCUGG
This 884-nucleotide ribosomal RNA is filed under the name uncultured bacterium. RNAcentral describes it as "bacterial SSU rRNA". It matches the Rfam family "Bacterial small subunit ribosomal RNA", at positions 9 to 873 of the family's 1533-position model. The record is from RNAcentral.